GACAAAGACCACCAAAUCAGCUCUAUCAUCAAUUGUGCCUUGCGAGGAUGAUGCUCCAUCAGCCAUGCGUUUUUCGCCAAGCCAAAUCUUGGAGAAAACAACCAAGGAAAAGGGAAAGAUGGUAAAUUUGGAUCCGAAGGAGCAAAAAGAUCAAGAACACAUCCCAUUUGUGGCGAACAUGAUGUCGCCAAAAAGAAAACACAUGUUGCUGUGAAGGUACAUGCCAAAAGAAAAAACAAAGAGGUUGCUGAAAUUACUCCACACCUUCCUAUGGUGCCACUUGACAGCCCUGCAAUGGGUACACGCAGCAAGAUAUUCAACCCUGCUAGCCCUGCAAUGAGCACACGAAGAAAAAGGAGACUUAGCUUGUGAUUCUCAUGUCAUUACUUUCCGUAUCAUGUUUCAUUUUGAAAACUAAGCUGUUUAUGUGAUAUAUGU
Molecule: long non-coding RNA, 438 nt
Organism: Triticum aestivum (bread wheat)
Lineage: Eukaryota; Viridiplantae; Streptophyta; Magnoliopsida; Poales; Poaceae
Exons: 3
Source: RefSeq, a predicted model, not a curated record